Molecule: small nucleolar RNA, 110 nt
Organism: Lactuca sativa (garden lettuce)
Lineage: Eukaryota; Viridiplantae; Streptophyta; Magnoliopsida; Asterales; Asteraceae
Source: RefSeq, a predicted model, not a curated record
AGGUCAUUUUGGGGGCAAAUAUUCCCUAUUAGACCUUUAUAGUGCUCCCAUGCUUCAUAUAACGACUCCUCCAAUUGUUGUUCAAAAUUGGCAAUGGCCUUUUUGAGCUU